UACGUAGGGCGCGAGCGUUGUCCGGAAUUAUUGGGCGUAAAGAGCUCGUAGGCGGCCGGUUGCGUCUGCUGUGAAAUCCCGGGGCUUAACCCCGGGCGUGCAGUGGAUACGGGCCGGCUGGAGGCAGGCAGGGGAGAAUGGAAUUCCCGGUGUAGCGGUGAAAUGCGCAGAUAUCGGGAGGAACACCGGUGGCGAAGGCGGUUCUCUGGGCCUUACCUGACGCUGAGGCGCGAAAGCGUGGGGAGCAAACAGG
RNAcentral lists this ribosomal RNA (253 nucleotides) under uncultured bacterium. RNAcentral describes it as "partial 16S ribosomal RNA". It matches the Rfam family "Bacterial small subunit ribosomal RNA", at positions 524 to 776 of the family's 1533-position model. The record is from RNAcentral.